This 102-nucleotide transfer RNA is filed under the name Puccinia triticina 1-1 BBBD Race 1. RNAcentral describes it as "Puccinia triticina tRNA PTTG_20422". It matches the Rfam family "tRNA". Rfam says of the family: Transfer RNA (tRNA) molecules are approximately 80 nucleotides in length. Their secondary structure includes four short double-helical elements and three loops (D, anti-codon, and T loops). Further hydrogen bonds mediate the characteristic L-shaped molecular structure. tRNAs have two regions of fundamental functional importance: the anti-codon, which is responsible for specific mRNA codon recognition, and the 3' end, to which the tRNAs corresponding amino acid is attached (by aminoacyl-tRNA synthetases). tRNAs cope with the degeneracy of the genetic code in two manners: having more than one tRNA (with a specific anti-codon) for a particular amino acid; and 'wobble' base-pairing, i.e. permitting non-standard base-pairing at the 3rd anti-codon position. The record is from Rfam by way of RNAcentral. Lineage: Eukaryota; Fungi; Basidiomycota; Pucciniomycetes; Pucciniales; Pucciniaceae.
GCCCGGUUAGCUCAGUCGGUAGAGCAUUUGACUUUUACUGGCCCCCGGCGACGGGGGAGGCAGUGCAUCAAAAUGUCGCGGGUUCGAGCCCCCCAUUGGGCG